AUGACAAGACCAGAGAAUUUGGUAGGCCUUGGAUUCCGGGACAUAGAAGUCUUUAAUCUGGCCUUAUUGUCAAGACAGGUCUGGAGAGUCAUGAAUGAGCCAUCAACAUUAAGUGCCAGAAUUCUUAAAGCCGUAUUCUUCCCCAAUUGCUCUAUUCUGGGAGCAGAGUUGGCGUCACACCCCUCCUAGAUAUGGUGUGCCAUCUUGGAUGGGAGGGAUAUUGUCAAGCAGGGUGCAAUCCGAAGGAUUGGAGAUGGAGCUUCAACGAGUAUAUGGUCACAGAAUUGGAUACCUAGGAUCGGGUGA
This 306-nucleotide ribosomal RNA is filed under the name Triticum aestivum (bread wheat). Its description in RNAcentral is "partial small subunit ribosomal RNA". Lineage: Eukaryota; Viridiplantae; Streptophyta; Magnoliopsida; Poales; Poaceae. The record is from RNAcentral.